RNAcentral lists this ribosomal RNA (252 nucleotides) under uncultured Kocuria sp. RNAcentral describes it as "partial 16S ribosomal RNA". It matches the Rfam family "Bacterial small subunit ribosomal RNA", at positions 222 to 486 of the family's 1533-position model. Lineage: Bacteria; Bacillati; Actinomycetota; Actinomycetes; Micrococcales; Micrococcaceae. The record is from RNAcentral.
UGGAUGGGCUCACGGCCUAUCAGCUUGUUGGUGGGGUAAUGGCUCACCAAGGCGACGACGGGUAGCCGGCCUGAGAGGGUGACCGGCCAGACUGGGACUGAGACACGGCCCAGACUCCUACGGGAGGCAGCAGUGGGGAAUAUUGCACAAUGGGCGAAAGCCUGAUGCAGCGACGCCGCGUGAGGGAUGACGGCCUUCGGGUUGUAAACCUCUUUCAGUAGGGAAGAAGCGAUAGUGACGGUACCUGCAGAA